GGUUGUAUAGUGUAGUGGCUAUCACAUCGGAUUCUGAUACCCUCAGAAAACAUUCCGGUAACCCCGGUUCGAUCCCGGGUACGACCU
Echria macrotheca is the source of this 87-nucleotide non-coding RNA. Lineage: Eukaryota; Fungi; Ascomycota; Sordariomycetes; Sordariales; Schizotheciaceae. The record is from the annotation of a GenBank genome assembly.